GACGAACGCUGGCGGCGUGCUUAACACAUGCAAGUCGAACGGAAAGGCCCUGCAUUUGUGGGGUGCUCGAGUGGCGAACGGGUGAGUAACACGUGAGUAGCCUGCCCUUGACUUUGGGAUAACUUCAGGAAACUGGGGCUAAUACCGGAUAGGAGCUCCUGCUGCAUGGUGGGGGUUGGAAAGUUUCGGCGGUUGGGAAUGGACUCGCGGCUUAUCAGCUUGUUGGUGGGGUAGUGGCUUACCAAGGCUUUGACGGGUAGCCGGCCUGAGAGGGUGACCGGCCACAUUGGGACUGAGAUACGGCCCAGACUGCUACGGGAGGCAGCAGUGGGGAAUAUUGCACAAUGGGCGGAAGCCUGAUGCAGCAACGCCGCGUGCGGGAUGACGGCCUUCGGGGUGGAAACCGCUUUCGCCUGUGACGAAGCGUGAGUGACGGUAAUGGGUAAAGAAGCACCGGCUAACUACGUG
This 468-nucleotide ribosomal RNA is filed under the name uncultured bacterium. RNAcentral describes it as "partial 16S ribosomal RNA". It matches the Rfam family "Bacterial small subunit ribosomal RNA", at positions 28 to 507 of the family's 1533-position model. The record is from RNAcentral.